This 492-nucleotide ribosomal RNA is filed under the name uncultured bacterium. RNAcentral describes it as "partial 16S ribosomal RNA". It matches the Rfam family "Bacterial small subunit ribosomal RNA", at positions 29 to 507 of the family's 1533-position model. The record is from RNAcentral.
AGUGAACGCUGGCGGUAGGCCUAACACAUGCAAGUCGAACGGCAGCACAGUAAUAGCUUGCUCUUACGGGUGGCGAGUGGCGGACGGGUGAGGAAUACAUCGGAAUCUACUUUUUCGUGGGGGCUAACGUAGGGAAACUUACGCUAAUACCGCAUACGACCUACGGGUGAAAGCAUGGGAUCUUCGGACCUUGCGCGAUUGUAUGAGCCGAUGUCGGAUUAGCUAGUUGGCGGGGUAAAGGCCCACCAAGGCGACGAUCCGUAGCUGGUCUGAGAGGAUGAUCAGCCACACUGGAACUGAGACACGGUCCAGACUCCUACGGGAGGCAGCAGUGGGGAAUAUUGGACAAUGGGCGCAAGCCUGAUCCAGCCAUACCGCGUGGGUGAAGAAGGCCUUCGGGUUGUAAAGCCCUUUUGUUGGGAAAGAAAAGCAGCAGGUUAAUACCCCGCUGUUCUGACGGUACCCAAAGAAUAAGCACCGGCUAACUUCGUG